Molecule: long non-coding RNA, 703 nt
Organism: Bombus terrestris (buff-tailed bumblebee)
Lineage: Eukaryota; Metazoa; Arthropoda; Insecta; Hymenoptera; Apidae
Exons: 2
Source: RefSeq, a predicted model, not a curated record
UAGGAUAUUUUUUUAAAUUUAUUUUAUAAGUGCACUUAUGUGUGUGUGUAUAUACAUAUAUUAUGUACAAUUGCCUUAUAGACAUUAUUACAACAGUAUAUUUUUCCUUAUGCAGUACUAUAAAUAGGAGCGAAAAGCAAUACAUAUACCAAAGAUCAAGCGUCUGAAAUAUAUCUUUUAUUUUUUAUUCUUCUUUGAUACGAGGAAUUUUGUAUUGAACAGAAGAACAUCGGCUCCGAUGUUCUUUAGUUUCGUUUGUACACAAAAUUUUGAAUCUUAUAUAACGAUGUAAUUAAAUAUAUAAAAUUUUGGAACGAAAAAGAUUGAAAAUGGCUGUGAAACAUAAUAUUUGUACAUUAUCAUUGCCUACGUUAACGGAUACAGUGUCCAUUAAGAAAGAGAAAGUUCGGAAAAAUCAUAUUUCGAACAAAAAGUGUAGAUCUUAUUAUUACGUUUGCCUGGGUGCUCUGAUGCAUACAAUAGAUAAGCAAAUUAAAGACAAAUAUACUGAAAAUAAUUAUCUAUAUUUAAUUGGGUCAAGAUACAUAAGAGAUCUUUAUAAAUGGCUACAACAUUGCAAAUACAAUAAAGUACUUGUAAAUGACUUUUUGAAGUCGCUUAUUACAUCAGUAGCUUUAUUUGCAAUAGGAGUAAAACUAUCUAACGAAUUAGUUGCAUGGAGGAUAUUUUAACCUAUAGUAAA